CGAGCAGGUGGGUCGGCAAGUCCUGUGUGCAAUCUUUCGGCUCAACCGAAAAACUGCAUGGGAAACUACCGAUCUUGAGUGCGAGAGAGGAUGGCGGAAUUCCUGGUGUAGCGGUGAAAUGCGUAGAUAUCAGGAGGAACACCGGUGGCGAAGGCGGCCAUCUGGCUCGACACUGACACUCAUCGCGAAGUCGGGGAGCAAACA
RNAcentral lists this ribosomal RNA (204 nucleotides) under uncultured bacterium. RNAcentral's name for it is "partial 16S ribosomal RNA". It matches the Rfam family "Bacterial small subunit ribosomal RNA", at positions 568 to 774 of the family's 1533-position model. The record is from RNAcentral.